UACGUAGGUCCCGAGCGUUGUCCGGAUUUAUUGGGCGUAAAGCGAGCGCAGGCGGUUUGAUAAGUCUGAAGUUAAAGGCUGUGGCUUAACCAUAGUUCGCUUUGGAAACUGUCAAACUUGAGUGCAGAAGGGGAGAGUGGAAUUCCAUGUGUAGCGGUGAAAUGCGUAGAUAUAUGGAGGAACACCGGUGGCGAAAGCGGCUCUCUGGUCUGUAACUAACGCUGAGGCUCGAAAGCGUGGGGAGCAAACAGG
This 252-nucleotide ribosomal RNA is filed under the name uncultured Streptococcus sp. RNAcentral's name for it is "partial 16S ribosomal RNA". It matches the Rfam family "Bacterial small subunit ribosomal RNA", at positions 524 to 776 of the family's 1533-position model. The record is from RNAcentral. Lineage: Bacteria; Bacillati; Bacillota; Bacilli; Lactobacillales; Streptococcaceae.